Non-coding RNA from Phascolarctos cinereus (koala), 1031 nucleotides. The record is from RefSeq and is a predicted model, not a curated record. NCBI's taxonomy places the organism in Eukaryota, Metazoa, Chordata, Mammalia, Diprotodontia, Phascolarctidae.
UAAGGAGAAAUCGAAGAGUUCUCUUCCUCCACCCUUUCCCCUCCCCUCCUCUGAGUAGUCUUAUUUUUGGAGGCUGCGCAGGAAGCUUUUCAGCACAGGAAAGAUCAUCUCACAGUAAGAGGGGGGAAAGAAAAUAACAGUAGCUGUCAUCCAGGAUGGAAGGGGGUGGGUGAUGCUUCAGGUUCUCCCUGAAAUGUCGGCAGGAGAAUUCAAAGGAUCCCCGAUGUCUCUCCUGCUUUCCUUUCCCUUCUACACUUUGACCCCCCCACCCCACCCCCAGCCAUGCCUCACUCUAUGUCUCCCAAAUGACAGACUCUAGUUAAUUUGGCCUUGGCUUUCACCAAGCAGCUGAUGCAGAGGAGGCCGCAGUUUGCCGGACUCGCAAAGUGGACACUAGAGAGAAAGAAGGAAGGGGAAAAAAGCAGCUGUUGAGAGUUUUAGCCUUUUUUUCCCCCCCUCUCUAUGGAGAUUUUGGCUGAACAGUUUUUAAAAAUGCAGUUGGCCGUUUUGUACCCCCUACCCGCCUUUGCUUUUUUUCCUCUUCUUAUGUCAAACUGCAAACUGCAGAACGAUAGACGUAAGGUAAUAUUCCCCACGCCAGCCUCAGCCCUGUCCCUGUUCCUCUCCAUUGAAAUUCCUCACCCUGGCUACCUCCUGUUCCCUUCCCACCUCUUUUGGCUGCUGUUCCUGAAGGCUGAAGCCCCUGGAUACUCCAAAUGGCUGAUCCAAUAGCCCCUUCCCCAGAAAUCCUUUCCCCAUCAAGAGACUCAGAUUGCAGAGAUUGCUACAUUAAUGGAUGCUGAAGCUACUAAGAUGUUGAAACAAAGGAUGUGAUCAACUGGAAACAUCCCUCCUGCUAAAAGUGACAUCUAGAAGGUUGUUGAAGAAUUAAUUUGUAGUUGGAUGCAACACUUACAUUUUUUGGAUGAUCAGCCAUGCGGAAAAACAAAUGUACCUGAGAAGACUUUAAGAAAAGCACAUGUAUCUCCUGUUCCCACAAUAAAAAUGUGUGUACCAACUGUGUAACUAUU